RNAcentral lists this ribosomal RNA (497 nucleotides) under uncultured bacterium. Its description in RNAcentral is "partial 16S ribosomal RNA". It matches the Rfam family "Bacterial small subunit ribosomal RNA", at positions 28 to 507 of the family's 1533-position model. The record is from RNAcentral.
GACGAACGCUGGCGGCGUGCCUAAUACAUGCAAGUUGAGCGCUGAAGGUUGGUACUUGUACCGACUGGAUGAGCAGCGAACGGGUGAGUAACGCGUGGGGAAUCUGCCUUUGAGCGGGGGACAACAUUUGGAAACGAAUGCUAAUACCGCAUAAAAACUUUAAACACAAGUUUUAAGUUUGAAAGAUGCAAUUGCAUCACUCAAAGAUGAUCCCGCGUUGUAUUAGCUAGUUGGUGAGGUAAAGGCUCACCAAGGCGAUGAUACAUAGCCGACCUGAGGGGGUGAUCGGCCACAUUGGGACUGAGACACGGCCCAAACUCCUACGGGAGGCAGCAGUAGGGAAUCUUCGGCAAUGGACGAAAGUCUGACCGAGCAACGCCGCGGGAGUGAAGAAGGUUGUCGGAUCGUAAAACUCUGUUGGUAGAGAAGAACGUUGGUGAGAGUGGAAAGCUCAUCAAGUGACGGUAACUACCCAGAAAGGGACGGCUAACUACGUG